RNA transcript from Athalia rosae (coleseed sawfly), 2320 nucleotides. It is a transcript of the gene named radial spoke head protein 6 homolog A, with no coding region annotated. The record is from RefSeq and is a predicted model, not a curated record. Lineage: Eukaryota; Metazoa; Arthropoda; Insecta; Hymenoptera; Athaliidae. The transcript has 14 exons.
UCCGAUGAUUAUUCGAAAAUAUCAUGGCGUUUAAUUAUGACAUCGAGGAAGUUCCACCCCCUGACUCGCCGUGCGUGGAACAUGAUAUUCGGCGAGCUAAAAAAUUCCUCCAGAAGCACAGCCCGGAGUCAGGCGAUAGCCUGUAUGAUCACCUCAGCGAAGUCUUGAACAAGAUACUGAGCGAAAGGCCCAAGAAUGCUGUCGAUAUUUUUGAACAGUACAGUCGGCAGUUGAAGGAGGAACGUUUCAGAAACAAUACCGAUCAUAUUCGCGAUCUUUACGUACCUCCGACGCAGUACGAGGACGCGAAGAAGUUGAUCGAACUCUUUCAACACGCCCAGGAAUCUGAGGAUUUUUCAGAAGAAAAUCUCGAAGACGAACGAGACGACGGUUCAAAAAAAAAAAAACCAAACUUGCUGGAUCUCAUGUAUUAUUUCGAACAAACUGGAGUCGGUCUGCCCCGAAGCGAGAUGGUCAUCCUAAACUUAUCCAUUCGAAAACUUAUGGCUAGCAAGCCGAUAGAAAAUGUUCGAUUCUGGGGUAAAAUAUUAGGAAGACCAAACAAUUAUUACGUUGUUGAGGCAGAUCUCCAAGAAAACGAACUGAAUCGUCGGUUAGAGGAAGGAGAAACGGUUGCAGAUCAAACAAUGCAGGAAAUGGAAGCGUCUGAGUCGGAAAACGAAGAAAUGAACGCGGAAAAAAUCGGUGGCGAAAACGCGGCGGGGGAAGAGCGUUCCGGAAACGCAGCUGAGGAAAAUAAUUUAGCUCUGAAUUUUCCGCCUCUGCCACAGACGAACUGGAAACCAGCGGUGAAAAUUCCACCGGAAAGAAUUGGGACCGGUGUCAAUAAAAAAACGUACUUCGUGUGCGGAUCGCCGGGACUCGAUGACUGGGUCGAAUUGCCAACGGUCUUACCGCAGCAGAUUGUUUCAGCGCGAUUAUUGGUCCGAUAUUUCACAGGGAAUCUAGAGACGCCUAUUCAUACCUUCCCUCCGUUUCCUGGUACCGAAAAAAAUUAUCUGCGGGCGCAAAUCGCGCGGAUUACAGCGGCUACUUCGAUCUCACCGAUCGGGUGGUAUAACUUUGGCGAAGACGAGGAGGAAGAAGCUCUUGGCGAAGAGGAAGAAGAAAUUGGAGGAAUUAUGCACGAAAAUCCUCAUUACGAUCCUCUCCCGAUAAAAGACCUCGUUGAUCAGUCCAUGACUAACUGGUGCCACCACGAGCAACAUAUUCUGGAACAAGGCCGGACUACCUGGUGGAACCCAAAAGCCGAAGGAGAUGAAGAUGAAUUUGCCGAGGAAGAAGAAGACAUGCAAGAAGAAGAAGAAGAAGAGACAGGCGGUGUUUCCAAAAUAAGUAGGGAAGUUGGUCCUCCGUUAUUGACCGCACUUUCUGAGGACGCGUCUUUGGAUUCAAUUCCGGCAUGGACAGCUAGACAGUCAUCGUUGAUUCAACCGGAUACCGCAGUCGCUUAUAUCCGUUCGAAUAUUUGGCCUGGUGCUUUCGCCUUCGCCACAGAGAGGAAAUUCGCCAACGUGUACAUCGGCUCGGGUCACAAGUUUACCGCAUUUAAUUACACCCCUCCUAAUAUGCCAGUUGUUCAAGACGAGUAUAAAAUUGGUCCAGAAGUGAUGGAAGUUCAGGAUCCAAGCGUAGAAGAGGAAGAAUCGUGGCGUACUUCGCACUUACCAGUUCCACAGCUUGCGUCAAUGGGCGAAGAAGAGGAUGAACUUGAGGAACAAUCCCCGAGCGAUGAAGAGGAAGAUGACGAUGAAGAUUAGGCAGAGUUUUCAUCAAAUCGAUUAAUUCAAGACAUAUAUUUCAACGUUCAAAAAGCGUCCAGACGCUUUUCGCAAAAAAACGCCAUUGCGAUUCGGUAUUUGGUCGUCAGAGCGUCUCGUACGUAGAUCCUUCUUUUCCGAAGCAACGGCAGUAUGGCCGUAGCAGCCGGAGCGUCGUCACGCGUCGUCAGGAGCGACGUCGAUGGUAGCGCGUACAUCCUUGGAGAAGAAAAAAAAGAUGGCAGAGAGGUGGGAGAAAGGAAAAUAAAUACAUUGCGGCCUUCAAUCAGUCACCACGGUGGCCAGUUCAUCGCAGUACUCAUUCAACGUCCAACCACGACGGGCAGGAGUUAUACAUGGCAUCGCACAAUUCGUUCACAGGUAUCCAAAGAUGCUGCCGCCGUAGCUGCUGUUUGACCGGACUCCCCCUGUUCAUCAGGGGGAGUCCACCGUCCCCUGGGACUGCGCGGCCUCCCACCGCCCCCGGGGUCCCAGGGGACCCGGUCCCCGAGGACAUGUCUUCGGGGAUGCGGUAUCCC